This 425-nucleotide ribosomal RNA is filed under the name uncultured bacterium. RNAcentral's name for it is "partial 16S ribosomal RNA". It matches the Rfam family "Bacterial small subunit ribosomal RNA", at positions 354 to 796 of the family's 1533-position model. The record is from RNAcentral.
GUGGGGAAUCUUGCGCAAUGGGCGAAAGCCUGACGCAGCCAUGCCGCGUGAAUGAUGAAGGUCUUAGGAUUGUAAAAUUCUUUCACCGGGGACGAUAAUGACGGUACCCGGAGAAGAAGCCCCGGCUAACUUCGUGCCAGCAGCCGCGGUAAUACGAAGGGGGCUAGCGUUGCUCGGAAUUACUGGGCGUAAAGGGCGCGUAGGCGGACAGUUUAGUCAGAGGUGAAAGCCCAGGGCUCAACCUUGGAAUUGCCUUGGAUACUGGCUGUCUUGAGUUUGGGAGAGGUGAGUGGAACUCCGAGUGUAGAGGUGAAAUUCGUAGAUAUUCGGAAGAACACCAGUGGCGAAGGCGACUCACUGGCCCAAUACUGACGCUGAGGCGCGAAAGCGUGGGGAGCAAACAGGAUUAGAAACCCGGGUAGUCC